This 465-nucleotide ribosomal RNA is filed under the name Vreelandella stevensii. RNAcentral describes it as "partial 16S ribosomal RNA". It matches the Rfam family "Bacterial small subunit ribosomal RNA", at positions 338 to 795 of the family's 1533-position model. The record is from RNAcentral. Lineage: Bacteria; Pseudomonadati; Pseudomonadota; Gammaproteobacteria; Oceanospirillales; Halomonadaceae.
CCUACGGGGGGCUGCAGUGGGGAAUAUUGGACAAUGGGGGCAACCCUGAUCCAGCCGUGCCGCGUGUGUGAAGAAGGCCCUCGGGUUGUAAAGCACUUUCAGUGAGGAAGAACGCCUGGUGGUUAAUACCCAUCAGGAAAGACAUCACUCACAGAAGAAGCACCGGCUAACUCCGUGCCAGCAGCCGCGGUAAUACGGAGGGUGCGAGCGUUAAUCGGAAUUACUGGGCGUAAAGCGCGCGUAGGUGGCUUGAUAAGCCGGUUGUGAAAGCCCCGGGCUCAACCUGGGAACGGCAUCCGGAACUGUCAAGCUAGAGUGCAGGAGAGGAAGGUAGAAUUCCCGGUGUAGCGGUGAAAUGCGUAGAGAUCGGGAGGAAUACCAGUGGCGAAGGCGGCCUUCUGGACUGACACUGACACUGAGGUGCGAAAGCGUGGGUAGCAAACAGGAUUAGAUACCCCUGUAGUC